CCUGGCGGCUUUAGCACGGUGGUCCCACCUGACCCCAUGCCGAACUCAGAAGUGAAACGCCGCAGCGCCGGAUCGAACCGCAGACCUCCUGCGUGCAAAGCAGGCGCUCUCCCAGCU
Molecule: ribosomal RNA, 117 nt
Filed under: Pseudenterobacter timonensis
Lineage: Bacteria; Pseudomonadati; Pseudomonadota; Gammaproteobacteria; Enterobacterales; Enterobacteriaceae
Source: RNAcentral